This 253-nucleotide ribosomal RNA is filed under the name uncultured bacterium. RNAcentral's name for it is "partial 16S ribosomal RNA". It matches the Rfam family "Bacterial small subunit ribosomal RNA", at positions 524 to 776 of the family's 1533-position model. The record is from RNAcentral.
UACGUAGGGUGCAAGCGUUAAUCGGAAUUACUGGGCGUAAAGCGUGCGCAGGCGGCUUUGCAAGACAGAUGUGAAAUCCCCGGGCUCAACCUGGGAACUGCAUUUGUGACUGCAAGGCUAGAGUACGGCAGAGGGGGAUGGAAUUCCGCGUGUAGCAGUGAGAUGCGUAGAUAUGCGGAGGAACACCAAUGGCGAAGGCAAUCCCCUGGGCCUGCACUGACGCUCAUGCACGAAAGCGUGGGGAGCAAACAGG